CCCGCGCUCCUCCGGGCAGAGCGCGUGUGGCGGCCGAGCACAUGGGCCCGCGGGCCGGGCGGGCUCGGGGCGGCCGGGACGAGGAGGGGCGACGACGAGCUGCGAGCAAAGAUGUGCCCCGGGACCCCCGGCACCUUCCAGUGGAUUUCCUUGCGGAAAGGAUGUUGGCGGUCCCUGUGACCUGUGGAGACACGGCCAGAUCUGCCCUCCAGCCUGAUCUUUUGGCCAGAAGGAGAUUAAAAAGAUGCCCCUCAAGAUGGCUGUGCCUGUCAGCUGCAUGGAGCUUCGUUCAAGUAUUUUCUGAGCCUGAUGGAUUUACAGUGAUCUUCAGUGGUCUGGGGAAUAACGCUGGUGGAACCAUGCACUGGAAUGACACACGCCCGGCACAUUUCAGGAUACUAAAAGUGGUUUUAAGGGAGGCUGUGGCUGAAUGCCUCAUGGAUUCUUACAGCUUGGAUGUCCAUGGGGGACGAAGGACUGCAGCUGGCUGAGAGGGUUGAGAUCUCUGUUUACUUAGAUCUCUGCCAACUUCCUUUGGGUCUCCCUAUGGAAUGUAAGACCCCGACUCUUCCUGGUGAAGCAUCUGAUGCACGUUCCAUCCGGCGCUCAGCUGGGCUUGAGCUGACCAUACUCCCUGGAGCCUUCUCCCGAGGUGCGCGGGUGACCUUGGCACAUACAGCCAUCAUGAUGGUACUUUAAGUGGAGGCUGAAUCAUCUCCCCUUUGAGCUGCUUGGCACGUGGCUCCCUUGGUGUUCCCCUUUUACUGCCAGGACACUGAGAUUUGGAGAGAAUCCUGUUACACCUGGGAUUUAGGCACUUUCAAUCUGAAAAAAUACAUAUCCUUUCAGCACUCUGGACGGACUUGAGAACUGUCCUUACGUGACCUAAAGCUGGAGUAUUUUGAGAUUGGAGAAUUAAGAGUGUGGGCACCCUGGCUUCAAGCUCACGAGAAACCAGAAGGAAGUCACUGUGCAUAGCCAUCCCCUAAGAAGAGGGCAUUCCUGCUCUUCCUUCUCCAUGGCUAGAGGAUCUACAUGAACUAUUUAGAUUUUUUCUACCUGGGAGAUUUAACUCCUCUCUCCUAUUUAUUUAUUUAUAUAUCAGCAUGGACUUGCAGGCCAACAGAGAUUUUGAGAAACACAUUGAAGGAUCUGUUAACACUUGAUAUACCCAAUAAAAGCAGUGGUUGUGCCAGUGCUGAUCUGUCUUGAUGUGAAUGUGAACAAUGGGAACCUGAGCUGAGCAGUUAAUGCUAGGGUGACAGAAACUGGACCUCUCCCAAGACAUGUGACAGAGUAAUACAGCAGCCAACUUCUUCGCCAAAUUAAAGUUUUACAAGAUUUAACCUGUCAUCAAGACCUGGGAUUUUGGUGAUCUUGGACAUGAUACCUGGAUGUGCAGCAGCCAUCUGGUAAUUAUGAGGUGACAAGUCAAUAGACUGAGAUGGUGGAGCAGCAAAGAUAGAAAAGAAGGACAGAAUAACGGGCUCCCAGAUUCACAAGCCCCACCAAGAGGAUCACCCCAGGAACGCUUGGAGGCUGAGGAGUUCACUGAGGCUACUGCAUCUUGAGACUCAGGAUGAAGACCCAGCUUGGGGCUGUCAAAGAGGCCUGAAGAGGCAGAACACCCCAGAGGAGCCUGGGGCCACCACCCAGCAUCACUGUGGGAAAACGGCAGCAGGAAAUGUCCUCUCGCCUGCGUGCUCCACCUCGGUCCACGCCUUCCCUCCUUCUGGAAGCCUUGCCUGACCACUGGCCUGCCCCUUCUAUGGGAAUCACUACUGACCUUGCAGCUUAUUAUAGACUUAUAUGUUUUUUGCAUGUCUGACACCCAUGACUCCACCUGGACCUUAUGGCUCCACCCAGAAGCAAUUCAGCCCAACAGGAGGACAGCUUCAACCCAUUACGAUUUCAUCUCUGCCCCAACCACUCAGCAGCAAGCACCUGUUACCUGUCCACCCCCACCCCUUCCCCCAAACUGCCUUUGAAAAAUCCCUAACCUAUGAGCUUUGAAUAAGAUGAGUACGAACUUCAUCGCCCACGUGGCGUGGCCGGCCUCGUGUCUAUUAAAUUCUUUUUCUACUACAA
Molecule: long non-coding RNA, 2088 nt
Filed under: Homo sapiens (human)
Lineage: Eukaryota; Metazoa; Chordata; Mammalia; Primates; Hominidae
Description: Pvt1 oncogene, transcript variant 10 (PVT1)
Rfam family: Pvt1 oncogene conserved region 1 (bases 34-211)
Source: RNAcentral